Molecule: ribosomal RNA, 399 nt
Filed under: Corynebacterium sp. HMSC074C04
Lineage: Bacteria; Bacillati; Actinomycetota; Actinomycetes; Mycobacteriales; Corynebacteriaceae
Description: bacterial LSU rRNA
Rfam family: Bacterial large subunit ribosomal RNA
Source: RNAcentral
CGAAUACUAAUUAGUGUGUUUUUAGUGGCAUGUCCUGGACCCGAAGCGGGGUGAUCUACCCAUGGCCAGUGUGAAGCAGAGGUAAGACUCUGUGGAGGCGCGAACCCACUUAGGUUGAAAACUGAGGGGAUGAGUUGUGGGUAGGGGUGAAAGGCCAAUCAAACUCCGUGAUAGCUGGUUCUCCCCGAAAUGCAUUUAGGUGCAGCGUCGUGUGUUUCCUCCUGGAGGUAGAGCUACUGGUUGGUUUAGCGGGACUAUCAUCUUAGCGACAUCAGCCAAACUCCGAAUGCCAGGUCAGGUGAGAGCACGGCAGUGAGACUGCGGGGGAUAAGCUUCGUAGUCGAGAGGGAAACAGCCCAGAUCGCCGGCUAAGGCCCCUAAGGGUGUGCUAAGUGGAAA